GUGGGGAAUAUUGGACAAUGGGCGCAAGCCUGAUCCAGCCAUGCCGCGUGAGUGAUGAAGGCCUUAGGGUUGUAAAGCUCUUUCACCGAUGAAGAUAAUGACGGUAGUCGGAGAAGAAGCCCCGGCUAACUUCGUGCCAGCAGCCGCGGUAAUACGAAGGGGGCUAGCGUUGUUCGGAUUUACUGGGCGUAAAGCGCACGUAGGCGGUUUGUUAAGUCAGGGGUGAAAUCCCGGAGCUCAACUCCGGAACUGCCUUUGAUACUGGCAAGCUAGAGUCCGGAAGAGGUAAGUGGAACUCCUAGUGUAGAGGUGGAAUUAGUAGAUAUUAGGAAGAACACCAGUGGCGAAGGCGGCUUACUGGUCCGGAACUGACGCUGAGGUGCGAAAGCGUGGGGAGCAAACAGGAUUAGAUACCCCGGUAGUCC
Molecule: ribosomal RNA, 425 nt
Filed under: uncultured bacterium
Lineage: Bacteria
Description: partial 16S ribosomal RNA
Rfam family: Bacterial small subunit ribosomal RNA
Source: RNAcentral